Molecule: RNA transcript, 4176 nt
Organism: Uranotaenia lowii
Lineage: Eukaryota; Metazoa; Arthropoda; Insecta; Diptera; Culicidae
Gene name: sphingomyelin phosphodiesterase
Exons: 9
Source: RefSeq, a predicted model, not a curated record
GCCGUUCGAAGCGGAUGACACCGUGCACCGUGCCUCUCGUAGUUUUGAACCCGUUUUCGAUACGAAUUCCGUAAAUCAGUCAGUGCUUUCUCCCACUUCUCAUAGCCGCGAGUCGCGAUCGUCGUCCGUCAUACCUCGAUUCCGGGUUUGCUGCAGCUUCCUCGCUCUUUUUUUCUGCUUUUUUGUUCAAUCCGUUUGUCUCCGGUAAGUUUGGUUCAAUGCAGCCAGCCAGUCCAGUGUUGAUUGCUCGCUGUUCGAUCGCGGUUGUUUUGUGCGACUUUGAGCUCUGAUCUAUUUAAUAGUUUUUUUCUCUCGGAUUUUUUUUUGUUUAUUGUAUGGGGAAACGUGUGCUCCAGUAACCAUUGACUGGAAGAUUACAACGGACUCGGGAGCCGUUUGUUGAUUAUCUUUUCGACCAGAGAUCUCCGAUUUUGAUUGUUUGGGAAAGUCGAAAAUCAGGUAGCUACGGGGUGAUAAAGUGAUUAACGAUUGAUAUCUUUCUAAUAGCCUUUUGAACCUGUGUCUGGGUACGAGUGUUGAUGAUCAUCGCUCAUCAAGUGUGGUACCCAUAAAGAGAUGGUAAAAGCGGGCCAAUCGGUCGAUCAAGUGAAGAAAUCGGGUGUUUCUUUGGUGUAGCAAGAAAUUUGGAGUUGGGAGUUCAUCAAUUCGCAGUUUGUUAGAUCAGUGACACUGAUCUUGGAUGUGGCAAGUGGUUUGUGGAUGGUGAAAAUUGCGAACAUUGAUUGGCUCGAUCGAUCAAGGCAGUGUCGGUGUGAAGAGCAUCGGAAAAGUGUUCAAGCCGCUGACGAGAGGCUGGGAUCCUUGUGAAGAAGAAGAUCUGCAGCAUCCAACGAGCGAAGAGUCUUUAACAGGUCGUUCUCAGCUGAGGUUUGACGAGCUUGACCUAGCCCCUGGCAGUGUGUGAUAAUUGGUGUUGCAAACGAUAACAACUAUCUAGGUCGUUACGAGAGCUCUGGUGUCUGUGAAGAAGAUCCAGCUCCAGCAGAAGAGGCUUGUCUAUACUCGGCAGUUCUCCUCAGCUCUACUCAAAGGCUUCGGGGAACGUGUAUGCUGACGAAGAUCAGCAAUUGAUCACAGCGCCGCGUUGGUUUGAUUUGAAGUCGAGGGUCCGUCUGUUGCUGCAGUCACAAAUGAUAAGGCUAAGCGUUUCGAGAUAAUCAUGAGUCAGUACUACUUCCCGAUUGUCCUGGUUUUUCUGCUGGAACUGUUACGAAUAACUCACUCACAUCCAUUCAUCUUCAGUGCGUCGUCGGGUCAAACUUCGCGAAGAUCUUUAAUUGAAUGGGUUCAACCGGAGGAUAAUUGGGACAUUCAGACGGUGCCCAGGAGCAUACACCCGGUGAUAGAGAAACGCCAAAAUGAUCAUCAGUUACCACCGACCACCUAUCAGGUGAUCGAUUCCGAGAAUCACGAUGAAAAAUUGUUGAAGAAAAUGCUACAGGCCCGAGAUAAUGCUACAGCUAGGACCCUUUUCUAUUACAACAAGGAAGAGUCACACCUGCCGCCACUUCUAACGAAAACGAUAAAGUAUUUCAACCUACAACAGGUUGCUUUCGAACUUGAAACCAGUGUAAUGUCCCAGGUGUCGUGUACGGCAUGCAAAGCUGGUGCUGGUCUGCUACAACAUUAUAUCAAAACUGGAAAGAGCAAAGAAGAGAUAAUUAAAACGAUCUACCACUACUGUGUCAACUUAAAAAUUCAAUCUCCUCGCGUCUGUGAAGGCGUUAGUCAGCUGUUCGGAGUUGAAGUUAUCUAUGUGCUGAAACGAGUAACCAUAGGACCGGAUGAGAUCUGUAGCUUCAUCAUUGGUGAUGCUUGUGGUGACAUCUACAAUCCUUACCACGAAUGGGAAGUUGAGUUUCCACCGGUUGCGAAGCCAGAAGUUAAAGAACUUACUCUUCCUACUGAAUCUGCUCCGGUGUUCAAGGUGCUGCACAUCUCCGAUACCCAUUACGAUCCUUACUAUGCCGAGGGUUCCAAUGCCGAUUGCAACGAACCUCUGUGCUGCAGACUUACAAAUGGGCGACCCACAACUCCCAACGGAGCUGCUGGAAAAUGGGGUGACUACAGGAAAUGCGACACUCCUCAACGAACAGUAGAUCACAUGCUGAACCACAUCGCAGAAACACACUCCGACAUCGAUUUCAUCAUUUGGACUGGAGACCUGCCACCUCACGAUGUCUGGAACCAAACCAAGGAGGAAAACCUCAAAGUCCUCAAAGAAACGGUAAAGCAAAUGUCCGAGAAAUUCCCCGGUAUCCCAAUCUUUCCUGCCCUCGGAAACCACGAGAGCGCUCCGGUCAACAGCUUCCCACCACCAUACGUUCAACAGGUGGACACCUCAAUAUCCUGGCUGUACGACGAACUAGACGUACAAUGGCGACGAUGGCUGCCGGCUAGCGUAUCUCACACGGUCCGUCGAGGUGCCUUCUAUUCGGUCCUGGUCCGGCCCGGCUACCGGAUCAUCUCCAUGAACAUGAACUACUGUAACAACAAAAACUGGUGGCUUCUGCUGAACUCCACCGAUCCUGCUACCGAGCUACAGUGGUUCAUCUACGAGCUACAGAGUGCAGAAUUCGCCAACGAGAAGGUGCACGUCAUCGGUCACAUUCCACCAGGGCAUUCAGACUGUCUGAAAGUGUGGAGCAGAAACUACUACAAAAUCAUAUCCCGCUACGAGAGUACGAUCGUGGCACAGUUCUUCGGGCAUACGCACUUCGAUGAGUUCGAGGUGUUCUAUGAUCCUAAUGACCUAAGUCGAGCUACAAGCAUUGCGUACAUUGGACCUUCGGUUUCGCCAUAUUACAAUCUCAAUCCAGGUUAUCGAAUUUACUACGUCGAUGGUGAUCAUGAGCAGACUACACGGCUCGUGGUUGAUCACGAAUCAUGGAUCAUGAACCUGAAGGAGGCCAACCUGUACGACUACCCGAUCUGGUACAAGCUGUACUCGACCCGGGCGGCCUACGCCAUGCGGGGACUGCGGCCAGCCGACUGGGACAUGCUGAUCAACAACAUGACCGACAACAAGGAACUGUUCGAUCUGUAUUAUAAACACUACUGGAAAAACUCACCCGUGCGGCCGGAAUGCGACUACGAGUGCCGGAAGCGGAUAUUGUGCGAUGCCAAAAGUGGGCGCAGCCACGACCGGAAAUACUUCUGCGAGGACGUGGAGGCCAAGAUCGACGAGAACAACAAGGGCUGGCGGGAAUGGAUUUUCAGCUCGAUUUCGUCUUCCGUCAAAUCUUCCGAACACAAAUCAGAGCCGGUUGGUGAUCUAGCCAAUUCACAUGAGGACGAAGCUGAGCACCUUCAACGCUUGAUUGACGCUGCCCACGAGAAGAAUAAGGAGACGCCUCUCGUCCAACUGGUUAAGGGAUGAACACGUGUUAAAUAUACGCAUUUAAAUGUUGUGGAAAUUCAUCGCAAAAACUUGAUUUUCAUACGCCCUAUCAGGUCUGACGCGGAUAUUCUGGCGCAAACGAUGACCUCCACCAGCCGAAAGUUGAAUAGCACCCCGCGGUUGAAUGAAUGAGUAGUAUUUUGGAAUUGGAUACAGGACGCCAGCAUUACCUCCUACUAAUUGAUAUUAGCAAAAAUACAAUAACAAAAACAGUGACCAUCAAACUUAACUGGAAGCUCAAACAGUUUAACAAGUGAUUGAUCAUGUUUUGUUUUAUUUAAAUUUUUGAGAAAAAGGAAGUAAUUGACCAGACAUUCUAAAACAACAGAUAACGAUGCAGGAAACAGACGUCCUUACUUGUACAAAUAUUAACCAUUAAAUUGUUCCAUGUUCCAAUUAGAAUCGGCAACGAUCCAGUUAAUGACUCUCACGUCGCAUAACCGCUUUUAACAUAAAUACAACACCCCAUUGAGUUGGAUUACGUCCAUUCUCUAAGAAAAAAGCUGCUGAAAUCGGGGAAAUCUCAUCAUUGUGAAACCCAGUGUUCAAUAAAUCUACCUUGUUAUCGAAUUCCGAUUAAAGAUGGAUUUGUAGAAUUUAACGAGAACCUUUGGAGCGAUAGAGUAUUAAAAUUUGAACCGCUGAAAAUAAAAGUCAACUAUAUAACUAAACGCAUCCUUCAAACAAACGACUGUGUAAAUACAAGAUUUAAAAUUUACCAAAAUAAAUUAUUUCUAUUGUACUGUAUACUGGGC